GUGGGGAAUAUUGCGCAAUGGGGGAAACCCUGACGCAGCAACGCCGCGUGAGUGAAGAAGGUUUUCGGAUCGUAAAGCUCUUUCGUUAGGGACGAACGUGCUCUUUGUGAAUAAUGAGGAGUAAUGACGGUACCUAAAUAAGAAGCCACGGCUAACUACGUGCCAGCAGCCGCGGUAAUACGUAGGUGGCAAGCGUUGUCCGGAAUUAUUGGGCGUAAAGCGCGCGCAGGCGGGAUAUCAAGUCUGUCUUAAAAGUGCGAGGCUCAACCUCGUGAGGGGACAGAAACUGGUAUUCUUGAGUGUCGGAGAGGAAAGUGGAAUUCCAAGUGUAGCGGUGAAAUGCGUAGAGAUUUGGAAGAACACCAGUGGCGAAGGCGACUUUCUGGACGAUGUCUGACGCUGAGGCGCGAAAGCUAGGGGAGCGAACGGGAUUAGAUACCCCUGUAGUCC
Molecule: ribosomal RNA, 450 nt
Filed under: uncultured bacterium
Lineage: Bacteria
Description: partial 16S ribosomal RNA
Rfam family: Bacterial small subunit ribosomal RNA
Source: RNAcentral